This 425-nucleotide ribosomal RNA is filed under the name uncultured bacterium. Its description in RNAcentral is "bacterial SSU rRNA". It matches the Rfam family "Bacterial small subunit ribosomal RNA", at positions 354 to 796 of the family's 1533-position model. The record is from RNAcentral.
GUCGGGAAUUUUGGGCAAUGGGCGAAAGCCUGACCCAGCAACGCCGCGUGAAGGAUGAAGUAUUUCGGUAUGUAAACUUCGAAAGAAUGGGAAGAAUCAAUGACGGUACCAUUUAUAAGGUCCGGCUAACUACGUGCCAGCAGCCGCGGUAAUACGUAGGGACCAAGCGUUGUUCGGAUUUACUGGGCGUAAAGGGCGCGUAGGCGGCAGUUCAAGUCAGCUGUGAAAUCUCCGAGCUUAACUCGGAACGGUCAGCUGAUACUGUUUUGCUAGAGUGCAGAAGGGGCAAUCGGAAUUCUUGGUGUAGCGGUGAAAUGCGUAGAUAUCAAGAGGAACACCUGAGGUGAAGACGGGUUGCUGGGCUGACACUGACGCUGAGGCGCGAAAGCUAGGGUAGCAAACGGGAUUAGAAACCCUAGUAGUCC